GUAGGUGGCAAGCGUUGUCCGGAAUUAUUGGGCGUAAAGCGCGCGCAGGCGGUUCUUUAAGUCUGAUGUGAAAGCCCACGGCUCAACCGUGGAGGGUCAUUGGAAACUGGAGAACUUGAGUACAGAAGAGGAAAGCGGAAUUCCACGUGUAGCGGUGAAAUGCGUAGAGAUGUGGAGGAACACCAGUGGCGAAGGCGGCUUUCUGGUCUGUAACUGACGCUGAGGCGCGAAAGCGUGGGGAGCAAACAGGGAUUAGAUACCCUGGUAGUCCACGCCGUAAACGAUGAGUGCUAAGUGUUAGGGGGGUUUCCGCCCCCUUAGAGCUGCAGCUAACGCAUUAAGCACUCCGCCUGGGGAGUACGGCCGCAAGGCUG
RNAcentral lists this ribosomal RNA (374 nucleotides) under uncultured organism. RNAcentral's name for it is "partial 16S ribosomal RNA". It matches the Rfam family "Bacterial small subunit ribosomal RNA", at positions 527 to 896 of the family's 1533-position model. The record is from RNAcentral.